GUGGGGAAUUUUGGACAAUGGGCGCAAGCCUGAUCCAGCAAUGCCGCGUGCAGGAAGAAGGCCUUCGGGUUGUAAACUGCUUUUGUACGGAACGAAAUGGUCCGGGUUAAUACCCUGGGCUAAUGACGGUACCGUAAGAAUAAGCACCGGCUAACUACGUGCCAGCAGCCGCGGUAAUACGUAGGGUGCAAGCGUUAAUCGGAAUUACUGGGCGUAAAGCGUGCGCAGGCGGUUUUGUAAGACAGGCGUGAAAUCCCCGGGCUCAACCUGGGAAUUGCGCUUGUGACUGCAAGGCUGGAGUGCGGCAGAGGGGGAUGGAAUUCCGCGUGUAGCAGUGAAAUGCGUAGAUAUGCGGAGGAACACCGAUGGCGAAGGCAAUCCCCUGGGCCUGCACUGACGCUCAUGCACGAAAGCGUGGGGAGCAAACAGGAUUAGAAACCCGGGUAGUCC
This 450-nucleotide ribosomal RNA is filed under the name uncultured bacterium. RNAcentral describes it as "partial 16S ribosomal RNA". It matches the Rfam family "Bacterial small subunit ribosomal RNA", at positions 354 to 796 of the family's 1533-position model. The record is from RNAcentral.